CCUACGGGAGGCAGCAGUGGGGAAUAUUGGACAAUGGGCGAAAGCCUGAUCCAGCAAUGCCGCGUGAGUGAUGAAGGCCUUCGGGUCGUAAAGCUCUUUUACCAGGGAUGAUAAUGACAGUACCUGGAGAAUAAGCUCCGGCUAACUCCGUGCCAGCAGCCGCGGUAAUACGGAGGGAGCUAGCGUUGUUCGGAAUUACUGGGCGUAAAGAGUACGUAGGCGGUUAUUCAAGUCAGAGGUGAAAGCCCGGGGCUCAACCCCGGAACUGCCUUUGAAACUAGAUAACUAGAGUCUUGGAGAGGUUAGUGGAAUUCCGAGUGUAGAGGUGAAAUUCGUAGAUAUUCGGAAGAACACCAGUGGCGAAGGCGACUAACUGGACAAGUACUGACGCUGAGGUACGAAAGCGUGGGAGCAAACAGGAUUAGAUACCCUGGUAGUCCACGCCGUAAACGAUGAUAACUAGUUGUUCGGUCACUUGGUGACUGAGUGACGCAGCUAACGCAUUAAGUUAUCCGCCUGGGGAUACGGUCGCAAGNUUAAAACUCAAAUGAAAUUGAACGG
This 561-nucleotide ribosomal RNA is filed under the name uncultured bacterium. RNAcentral describes it as "bacterial SSU rRNA". It matches the Rfam family "Bacterial small subunit ribosomal RNA", at positions 338 to 917 of the family's 1533-position model. The record is from RNAcentral.